This 253-nucleotide ribosomal RNA is filed under the name uncultured bacterium. Its description in RNAcentral is "partial 16S ribosomal RNA". It matches the Rfam family "Bacterial small subunit ribosomal RNA", at positions 524 to 776 of the family's 1533-position model. The record is from RNAcentral.
UCCGUAGGGGGCUAGCGUUGUCCGGAAUCAUUGGGCGUAAAGAGCGUGUAGGCGGUCCGGUAAGUCCGCUGUGAAAGUCGGGGGCUCAACCCUCGAAUGCCGGUGGAUACUGUCGGGCUAGAGUGCGGAAGAGGCGAGUGGAAUUCCUGGUGUAGCGGUGAAAUGCGCAGAUAUCAGGAGGAACACCUAUUGCGAAGGCAGCUCGCUGGGACGUAACUGACGCUGAGACGCGAAAGCGUGGGGAGCAAACAGG